UGGAUUUCUGAUUGGUCAGUUGCUAC
Molecule: non-coding RNA, 26 nt
Filed under: Mus musculus (house mouse)
Lineage: Eukaryota; Metazoa; Chordata; Mammalia; Rodentia; Muridae
Source: RNAcentral